Molecule: ribosomal RNA, 293 nt
Filed under: uncultured bacterium
Lineage: Bacteria
Description: partial 16S ribosomal RNA
Rfam family: Archaeal small subunit ribosomal RNA
Source: RNAcentral
GUGCCAGCCGCCGCGGUAAUACCGGCAGCCCAAGUGAUGGCCGAUCUUAUUGGGCCUAAAGCGUCCGUAGCUGGCUGCGCAAGUCCGUCGGGAAAUCCACUCGCCCAACGAGUGGGCGUCCGACGGAAACUGCACAGCUUGGGACCGGAAGACUCGAGAGGUACGUCCGGGGUAGGAGUGAAAUCCCAUAAUCCCGCACGGACCACCGAUGGCGAAAGCACUUCGAGAAAACGGAUCCGACAGUGAGGGACGAAAGCCAAGGUCUCCAACCGGAUUAGAAACCCCAGUAGUCC